RNAcentral lists this ribosomal RNA (429 nucleotides) under uncultured prokaryote. RNAcentral describes it as "bacterial SSU rRNA". It matches the Rfam family "Bacterial small subunit ribosomal RNA", at positions 355 to 774 of the family's 1533-position model. The record is from RNAcentral.
UCGAGAAUCUUUCGCAAUGGGGGAAACCCUGACGCAGCGACGCCGCGUGAGCGAUGAAGGUCUUCGGAUUGUAAAGCUCUGUCACGAGGGGCGAAACAUUCACUGGUGAACAAUCAGUGGAUUUGACGGUACCUCGAGAGGAAGCCCCGGCUAACUCUGUGCCAGCAGCCGCGGUAAUAAAGAGGGGGCAAGCGUUGUUCGGAAUUACUGGGUGUAAAGGGCGCGUAGGCUGUUUGGUAAGUCAGAUGUGAAAUCUUGGAGCUUAACUCCGAAACUGCAUUUGGUACUGCCAGACUUGAGUAUGAAAGAGGAAGAUGGAAUUUCCGGUGUAAGAGUGAAAUCUGCAGAUAUCGAGAGGAACACCAGUAGCGAAGGCGAUCUUCUGGUUCAAUACUGACGCUGAGUGCGCGAAAGCUAGGGGAGCAAACG